GACGAACGCUGGCGGCGUGCUUAACACAUGCAAGUCGAACGGAAAGGCCCCCUUGUGGGGUACUCGAGUGGCGAACGGGUGAGUAACACGUGAGUAACCUACCCUUGACUUUGGGAUAACUUCAGGAAACUGGGGCUAAUACCGGAUAGGAGCUCCUGCUGCAUGGUGGGGGUUGGAAAGUUUCGGCGGUUGGGGAUGGACUCGCGGCUUAUCAGCUUGUUGGUGGGGUAGUGGCUCACCAAGGCUUUGACGGGUAGCCGGCCUGAGAGGGUGACCGGCCACAUUGGGAGUGAGAUACGGCCCAGACGCAUACGGGAGGCAGCAGUGGGGAAUAUUGCACAAUGGGCGGAAGCCGGAUGCAGCAACGCCGCGUGCGGGAUGACGGCCUUCGGGUUGUAAACCGCUUUCGCCUGUGACGAAGCGUGAGUGACGGUAAUGGGUAAAGAAGCACCGGCUAACUACGUG
Molecule: ribosomal RNA, 465 nt
Filed under: uncultured bacterium
Lineage: Bacteria
Description: partial 16S ribosomal RNA
Rfam family: Bacterial small subunit ribosomal RNA
Source: RNAcentral